This 1065-nucleotide long non-coding RNA is filed under the name Homo sapiens (human). Its description in RNAcentral is "HSALNT0023856". The record is from RNAcentral. Lineage: Eukaryota; Metazoa; Chordata; Mammalia; Primates; Hominidae.
AUGUACCUCUAGUUCCAGCUACUCAGGAGGCUGAGGUAGGAGGCUCACUUGAACCCAGAAAUGGGAGGUAACAGUGAGGCAUGAUAGUGCCACCGCACUCCAGCCUUGGUGAUAGAGCAAGACCUUGUCUCUAAAAAAAGAAAAGUAAAGAAAGAACCCAGAAUGGAAACCUCCUUCCUUUCCCCCAAAUAAUUCUGAAGGUUCUUCUCCUUCCAAAUGCCCACAUCUCACCAAUGCCCACAUCUCACCAAUAUGCACACUCUCCCGCACACUUGCAGAUCCUCUUGUCUGCCAUGGGGCUCAGAAUUAGAUAGGGGUAAAAAGCCGGUGAGGGGAGAGAAGGGAGGGAGCAGAAAAGCCAGGAGAGAAAGACGCUCCGCAAAAUAUAGGACUCAAAACCCUUCAGCGGGAGGAGGGGAAGCCCUGGUGCCUCCCCUGCUGGCUUCCCCUCUCUCAUGCUUAGAAUUUGCUUCCUUCCAGGUUCAGAACCAGGACCUUCUGCCUUGGCCUCCUACCUGCAUGAGUGGCUGGCCACUCUUAGCAUCCACUGCCCACCCUCUGUGGCCACAGGCGAUUCUGCUAAUCUGAGCCAUCUGUGCAUCUUGAUCACAAGGAAGAUACCACCCUAAGCCUCCAAGGCCAGUUGGCCAAACAGAGAUUUGGCCACUCCUCCAGGAAGAGGUUUCUCACUAUGUCAGACGCAUCUCUGUCAGAAGCCCUUGCAAACAGUCAAACCAUUUUGUACUAUCAUUUCUGAUACGCAGCUCAAGAGGCACCAUGGGUACAAUCACAUCUGACAUAAUAUAGCUGCUAGAACACUUGGCCUGGCAGUUUUAGAAAGGGACUUUCAUGAUUAAAACACUCUUUCUCAGGGCAGCAUCUGCGAUGCCACCUACAUCUUUUGCCUGAGGGAUUCCCAGAGGGUCAAUAUCACCUCCUUUUCCCUUCUUUUGCUAACUCAGUGAAGAAAGAGCAAAGAUGAGUGAGUCAGAGCUUGGGAUAAAUUAUUACACAUAUGUCUGUGCAUGUUUGCAUCUGAGAAUAAAUGAAAGAAAAAUUAACCUG